GUGACAUGUUAGGACUCUAAUGAGUUUAAGACCUAUUGAGCCUCUUAAGUGAGGCCGCCAGCAACCUUUUUUUUCUCUACAUUUUAAAAAAAAAACUAAAAUUCUACCCUUAUCGGUGGAUCACUCGGCUCG
Molecule: ribosomal RNA, 132 nt
Filed under: Meloidogyne thailandica
Lineage: Eukaryota; Metazoa; Nematoda; Chromadorea; Rhabditida; Meloidogynidae
Description: partial 5.8S ribosomal RNA
Source: RNAcentral